Molecule: ribosomal RNA, 446 nt
Filed under: Atherina boyeri (big-scale sand smelt)
Lineage: Eukaryota; Metazoa; Chordata; Actinopteri; Atheriniformes; Atherinidae
Description: partial 16S ribosomal RNA
Rfam family: Bacterial large subunit ribosomal RNA
Source: RNAcentral
AGGUAGCGCAAUCACUUGUCUUUUAAAUGAAGACCCGUAUGAAUGGCACGACGAGGGCUUAACUGUCUCCUUUUUCUAGUCAAUGAAAUUGAUCUCCCCGUGCAGAAGCGGGGAUAAGCACAUAAGACGAGAAGACCCUGUGGAGCUUUAGACAACGGGGUGGCCCCUGUCACCUCCCCUAGGGAGGAACUAGAUGGCCCCCAUCCCACUGUCUUUGGUUGGGGCGACCGCGGGGAAACAUACACCCCCCACGUGGAACGAGAGUACUCCUCUUGUAACUGAGAGCCACAGCUCUAACUACCAGAACUUCUGACCAACAAGAUCCGGCAAUGCCGAUCAACGGACCGAGUUACCCCAGGGAUAACAGCGCAAUCCCCUUUUAGAGCCCAUAUCGACAAGGGGGUUUACGACCUCGAUGUUGGAUCAGGACAUCCUACUGGUGCAGC